RNAcentral lists this transfer RNA (76 nucleotides) under Pseudomonadales bacterium. RNAcentral describes it as "tRNA-Glu". It matches the Rfam family "tRNA". From Rfam's summary of the family: Transfer RNA (tRNA) molecules are approximately 80 nucleotides in length. Their secondary structure includes four short double-helical elements and three loops (D, anti-codon, and T loops). RNAcentral also lists the same sequence under 6 other names. The record is from RNAcentral. Lineage: Bacteria; Pseudomonadati; Pseudomonadota; Gammaproteobacteria; Pseudomonadales.
GUCCCCUUCGUCUAGUGGCCUAGGACACCGGGUUUUCAUCCCGGCAACAGGGGUUCGAAACCCCUAGGGGACGCCA